GUGAGCUAGUUCAUUAAAAUAGAUUCUUUCUCUAAGUUUGUUUCUCUCAUUUAAUCUGUCUCCUGUUCUUUCCGUUUCUCUGUAGAACCUUAACUAAUCCAACUGCAAGAGGCCUGUAGAGAGAAUUGGAGACCAAGAAAUUUGAGGAAAGUUUUGCUGCGGCUUGUAAAGAUACCACCCAAACACCCAGAUUUCCUUGGAGGUUACUAUGAGGGUUAAGCACUCAGAGGAAUGGGAUUCAUUCCUUGAAGAAAAAGCACUGAUUCAAAGAGCCUAUAGAUAUUUAAUGGCCAAUCAGUAUUGCUCAGAGGGGAUCUCCUUGGCUUCAUGCAUCAACUGGACCUCAAAAUCCUUGUCAAUGACUGAAAUUGCAAAGAAUUGGAAUAUGGAGGAAUUUUCUAAGGAUGAAAAGGUCCCAGGUCACAACUCUGGCCUGUGUGAGUCACUGUGGUUGAAAAUGCUCAAAAUGAGGCUGCAUCGCUACCUGGAAACUGUGUGUAGUUAAAGGAUGUUUUACUCU
This 520-nucleotide long non-coding RNA is filed under the name Canis lupus familiaris (dog). RNAcentral's name for it is "lncRNA (ENSCAFG00845026502.1)". The record is from RNAcentral. Lineage: Eukaryota; Metazoa; Chordata; Mammalia; Carnivora; Canidae.